GGCUGGUCUGAAGGUAGUGAGUUAUCUCAAUUGAUUGUUCACAGUCAGUUACAGAUCAAACUCCUUGUUCUACUCUUCCUCCCCUUCUCACCACUGCACUUGACUAGUCUUAU
This 113-nucleotide Y RNA is filed under the name Nomascus leucogenys (northern white-cheeked gibbon). It matches the Rfam family "Y RNA". From Rfam's summary of the family: Y RNAs are components of the Ro ribonucleoprotein particle (Ro RNP), in association with Ro60 and La proteins. Lineage: Eukaryota; Metazoa; Chordata; Mammalia; Primates; Hylobatidae. The record is from Rfam by way of RNAcentral.